This is a long non-coding RNA of Heterocephalus glaber (naked mole-rat), 875 nucleotides long. The record is from Ensembl. NCBI's taxonomy places the organism in Eukaryota, Metazoa, Chordata, Mammalia, Rodentia, Bathyergidae.
GUAGCAAGGCGAAUCCGGAUAGGAGACGCCCAGGGAGGCGGGAAGGGGUGGAAAACUCUUUCAUUGCAUUGAAGGACCUGGCUGGGUCUCUCCCAAAGAAGUCAGGCCUGGAAUCUCAGCGGGUUGCAAGCAGGAGGGACAGAAGCAGAGGCGGAGUACUCGGCAGCCUUCGGUUGGCUAGUUAUUUGACAUUUUUGACAUCUCUGAGGCUUGGCUCCAUUGGCGUUGCCCUGGGAAUAGAUCGAGCAGAGUUGAUACAAAGCCCAGCAGCAGAAGGCAGACCAAAGAGCUCGGCCGGGACCUGCCGGGUUCCUCCCGGGCCUGUGAUUCCAGGAGCUGUCACGGUUACUCAGGAGACUGCAGAAAUAGGACCACUGAAAAACAACUUCAGCACUGACAGGAUUCCUGGAAAGCGACCCCGAGGGCCAGGACUCUGGGAGACCGUGGUUAACCUAAGAAGUAGCUGUUCUCUAGUCAGAUCUCCUGUUUUCAAAAUACCAAAGCUACGGGACAGAUGAUCAUAGUUCGGAGUGAAGCCUGCCAUUCCCGCUCCCGGACUGGCUCGACUGAGCUUGUAGGUGUUCACCAACCAAGGAUUGAAGACCGAGGCAGAAAUGACGCCCAGGCUGACAGGCCAGCGGGUACUGGAGGAGCCAAGCUCAUCUUGACAAACACAAACAUUCAUCCUCACCCACAAGGCAUGGUCACCUUGAGUAGGUGUGGCUGUAAAAUAAAAAUGAGUAUAUAGGGCCGGGGAUGUAGCUCAGUGGUGCUGCACCUGCCUUGCAAGCACAAGAGCCUGUGUUCAAUUCCCACUACCACAAAAAAAAUUUUUUAAUUAAAAAAUUAAAAAAAUGACUAUAUAAAGAAUCUAG